Molecule: non-coding RNA, 4412 nt
Organism: Microcebus murinus (gray mouse lemur)
Lineage: Eukaryota; Metazoa; Chordata; Mammalia; Primates; Cheirogaleidae
Source: RefSeq, a predicted model, not a curated record
UGUUGGUCUCUCAUAAACAUCUUAGAGCCCGGAUUCUGUCUCGGCAUUUCAUGGCACCUGCUUCUAGAAAACCCAACCUGUGACACCAUAUUUAGUGAAUUACUUAUAAAGUCGUUCUACUUUUCCUGGGGAAUGAUCUUUCAGCCAUCACUUGACAGUAGAAUACAUGCUGAAUUAAGGUCCAGUGAUGACUGCCAGUACUAACCUGCCAUAUUAAAAACUAUCAAUUAAUUAUAUACCAGAAACUUAAUUUUUUUCUCUGAAAUGCAUUGCUAAAACCAUAGUUGUUGUUGUUUUUUUUAAUCAUGCUAUGUUGACCAGCCUGGCCUCCAUCUCCUGGCUCAAGUGAUCCUCCUGCCUCAGCCUCCCACAGUGCUGGAAUUACAGAAUGCCACGUGUUCCGUGCACAGGAGAGAACUUCCUCCAUCCAUCAGUACAGCAGCUGGAGAUCUUCCCUGGUGAUAAGGAUUUGGGAUAAGGAAUAAUCAAAGAAGGCAUUUCUCCAUUAAGCUGAGAAAGCAGUAGCCUGGAGCCAAAUAUGUCUUCUGGUUUUAUGGAUGCACAAACCCGCAAAAGCUUAAUGAAAAGGAACUUGAAAGGAGAAGAAGAUUAUCACAUUGCUUUUAGGUUCCCUGCUUGAUUACUUUUAGAUCUUUGCAGCAAACUUGGAAAGAUAUGCUUGCCAAAGAAUGGUCCUUUUGCUGGGAAGGUCAUCUUCUUUGAGCAUGCAGCUUCGAGAAGGAGGACAUGAGGAAGGUUGAGAGAAGAAGGGGACACCAAGCCAGCCAGGGAGAGAAAAGAGUAAAGAAACCCAUAUUUGUUGAGCUUUUCUUCUGGCAGCUAGCAAUAGCUAGUACCAAAUAAAUACAGCCUUUAGAAUUUCUAGAAAAAGAAAGAAAACAAAGCAACAAGAGUCGGAGUUGACUGUUCAGAAAAGAGUCAAUUCAGAAACAUUUAAAUGCAGUUACCAUGUAAUGAGAAAAGUUGAGGAUCGCUUGUGGGACAGGAGGCAGACAUGGGGGAUGCUCAGCUGGCUGAGAACUGCAGGAUAGAUAACCUUCUCAACAAAAAGUUGAAGAAAGCCAGCAGUGAAAAGAGAAAGCCAUAGCUAAAAGAAGAAUCAAGCACAAAGCAAAAGAUUUUCUUCCCACCUUGAGGCCUGAGAACUCCAUUCUCAUGCUCCCUUCACGAUCAUGAAGUGCUCAGUUGUCAUAAGUGUGGCUUUGAUGCCGUUAGACACCAUCUUCCCCUCAAAAUAUUUUCUCCCUCUGUGACUCUGAGAAAACCUCCCAUUCAGAAGCAAGCUCCAUGGUGGGGGACGUAGUGAAGUGGAUCAGCGAGAAGCUGCAGGGGCCCCAGGGAACUGUACUCCACUUCAAAGGCCAUUUGCCCACCGAGCCGAGCCCUCCUUUCACUCCUGGCCUUGCGUCUAAAGAUUAUGCUCCAUAGAAUAUUCUGAAGUGGCUACUGAAGAAUCUUGUGAAGUCAAGACACAAAGAGCCAUUCUGUUCUCAGAAAUGCCUACAUUUAUACUACUGAGAGUCUCGCACUUGUGUAUGAUAUCUCCUGCUCUCUAUCCUGCUGACUUCAAUCUGGCGGGACUGCCACAUGUCUUUGUACUCUGCACCGCACAUGUGCAUAUGGUGCCUGCUAAAUAUAAAUGCUGUUUGGCAGGAUCCUUUUUUCUCUUCCUUUGUUUCUGAAAAUGUAGUGAAGAAAAUGUGUAAUGUGUGCCCGCUCCAAAAUGAGAGAGACUUUCAGGAAGUGGAAUUAUCUUGACAACAAGCCACACAUUUUACAUAUUAUUUCAGCGUGUGGCAGUAGUGGUGGCAGUGACUGUCUGCUGCUUUGUCUGGUCAAACUGGGAAUGCUGAUCUGGUUUGUAGCCUCUCUUCAACGGAGGUCAGGCAAAUCCCUGCACUGCUGAACCAUCUGCCUGGUUUUCAGGUUCUGCCCUCCCAUCCUCCACCCAGGUACUAGUCAGGUUAGGCCAGUCUAUGCUGCUGUAACAAACAACUCAAAGCUCUCAGAGGCAUAACACAAUAUAUCUGUAUUUCCUGUUCAUAGUACGUGUUCACCGUCAGUUGGCGGGCCGCUCAUUAUAGUCGCCCGGGACCCAGGCAGAUGGAGGUGUCAUCCUGAUGUAUGUGUCCACCACCACUGCAGCCAUGGGGCAGGGAUGUGACGAGCCACCUUCUGGCUAUGAGAUUUUGCCCUGGAAGUGGCACACAUUACUUCUGCUCUCUCUUUAUUAAACAAAGUGAGUCCCACUCUAUGCCUAACAUCAGAGAAGAACAGGGAAGUAUGAUCUCUCCAUGUAUCUGAAAGCCAGAGAGCUAGACGGAUUUUGCUACUGGCAUUAAUGACAUCCACGUCUCCUGCCAGAAGUAAGAUGAGCGGGCAAUCACUCUGCUAUUGUCGGGGUGUCCAGGUACUUUCUAGGUGCACAAAUGGUGCUGUUGAGAGGAAAGAGCAAGACAUCACAGGUUAAAGCUAUUCUAUAAAGGCAUCUCAUAGAGUAGCACUGUCUUGAAACAGUGCUUAGACUUUUCAAGAAGUAUCAUAGCAUAAAGAAACUUGGACCAAGGGCAGUAAGGUGAGGGACACAGAAGCACACAGAUGCAGGCUCCACUGUGAGUCUCUGGAGCUGUGCCAAGGUCACACACAGCAUCACGUCGGAAUGGAGCAAAUGUAGAAGUCAGUGGAAUGGGGCUUGAGCCUUUCAGGAGCUGCCCUGCUGCCUGCUCUCUCUGCCAGGCUUCCCAGCGUCCCCGUGGGCUCUGCUCCUGCCAGGCGAGCCUGCUCUGACUUCUUUUGCUGGUGGCAGGACUUCAACAAAGCUGUGAUUGCAGGGAGUGUGGUUUGUUAGAUCUUAAGGACUGGAAGAAGUCCCAGAGCCACUUAGCAGGUGAAGAAUCAUGACUGUGUCUGAGCCAACUUCAGGGGCCUCACAUCUCUGGACUGAUUGCAUCGAGCGCAGGAAAAGCCCGAAGGAGAAGUUCCGAUCCGGAGGGCAGUUGAGGGGGCUUUGCCUGGUCGCACUCAUCACAGCUGGCAGGGGCCGCGGGAGGAGAGGCAGCCAGCAUGUGGCUUCUCAUCACCUGCCCAGACAGAUGACCCCGCCUCCGUAGGGGAGAGCGACAGAGAAGAGCAGCGGGGCUCUCUGGGGCAACCGAGGAGAGGCGACAAGACUAAUUCGACUGUCCACGGCCGCUCAGCACAACGUGAAACUCAGCAGCUUUGAGCAGGAUUCUGCUAAUGAAUGUGGAACCGAGGGACUGGCGGCCCCCUUUCCUCUGGUAUUAACAUUUUUUACUUUAUUUUAAUGAGGGAAAUGAGAUUCUUCUCAGUUUCCUAUCACCAAACCCGGUUUGGGAGGACAUGACAUUUAACAACAGUGCUUUGAAAAAUAUUAAGCAUUAUACAAAUACAAGGAAUUGUUGCUAUUAUUAUCCUGAUGAAGCACACACGCAGCUUGGGAUCAGCCUUAAUAUUGAGGGGGUAUUUAAGGGAUUAGGAAGGACUCUGUGACUAUUGGGGAGUGACUCAGGAUGGCCUUCAUAGAAGGGGCCAACUAAUCUGGCCAUAUUAAAUCCAUUUUUAGAAGCUAAAUACCCAAACUCUGAGUCAAUAAACCACCACACAGACAUAGAUCAUAAAACUUGAUCAUCUCCCAUCAGAUGCAACAAUCUCAUAAAUUAUAAAAUAUAUCAAGCGAUUAAUUCUAAUUUGAGGCCAUAACUUGAUUAGCUUCUAGGUAGAAGGAGGAAAUGGCUUUGGGUAGGAGCAUUGGUCCCAAAUUUCUUAAUAUAUAUUAUAGAUGUGGCCAAAGUGAAGUGGGGGGAGGAGCUGCAUGGUGGACUCGGGGCUGCAUCCAAAUAAUGCAGGAGAAAAUGGUCCAUUUUCUUUAAGUCAGAUGUACUUUAAGUCAGAUCCCAAAGGCUUUGAGAAACCACAUUUAAUCCUUACUAACCUGGGUGAAUUAGGGAUUAAGGUCAGUAUGAACUAGUGAACUUUUGAAUUACAGAUUGUUUUGAAAGACAUGUAUUUGUGUCAUUUUUCAAGUAUGGAGAAAUGCAAAAGUAAUGGAUAGGAGAGUGGGGUCAAAUACAGGUCCAUCCAGGCCUGCUUAACUAUCCUAAUUAUCAUUUACAUGCAAAUGAUUAGUAUCAUUUAGAGUAACCUCACAAUUCAUUCUUUAAAACAGGUCUCUUAUUUGCCUUUUAUUUUAAAAAACUUAAUACAGGGAGCAUGCCCUUUUUUAUUGUCCAGAAGAAAAUCUCAGCCACGUUAAGGAGGAGGUAUCCCAAACUGCUGAUGUGCUUGUACAGAUAGGAGACGUCAGAAGCCGAAACACCUGUCCCCACAGUCCCACUGCUCUCGCUGCCCCACAUGCAGCAGGUGGAGGCUGC